UACGUAGGGUGCGAGCGUUGUCCGGAAUUACUGGGCGUAAAGGGCUCGUAGGUGGUUUGUCGCGUUGUUCGUGAAAACUCACAGCUCAACUGUGGGCGUGCGGGCGAUACGGGCAGACUGGAGUACUGCAGGGGAGACUGGAAUUCCUGGUGUAGCGGUGGAAUGCGCAGAUAUCAGGAGGAACACCGGUGGCGAAGGCGGGUCUCUGGGCAGUAACUGACGCUGAGGAGCGAAAGCGUGGGGAGCGAACAGG
RNAcentral lists this ribosomal RNA (253 nucleotides) under uncultured bacterium. RNAcentral's name for it is "partial 16S ribosomal RNA". It matches the Rfam family "Bacterial small subunit ribosomal RNA", at positions 524 to 776 of the family's 1533-position model. The record is from RNAcentral.